UCUUCUUUGCAGACCAACCUAAAGUUGUGGAUGCUGAAACUCAGAAAGGUGUUAAAUUACGUCGCAAAGGCUUUUGGAGACGACGACGGCGACUGAUCACGCCUCACAGGAUUUUGCUUGACUGAAGGUUAACUAGCAAGAUGUCCAAGACUAGACCUCUGGGCUUUUUUUAAUUUUUAUCAUUUUUUUCUUUUUCUUUUGUAUAAAAAAAACCCACAACAACAACAACAAAACACAACAACAACAACAAAACAAAAAAAACAAAAAAAAAACACAGACUAGACUGCUCGGCAUUUAAUGUAGUUAAUGUGUUGUACAUAUAGGUUUUGCCUAAAAUGCUUUUUAUUAAAAUCCGAUGCAUUUAA
Exaiptasia diaphana is the source of this 365-nucleotide long non-coding RNA. RefSeq lists it as uncharacterized. NCBI's taxonomy places the organism in Eukaryota, Metazoa, Cnidaria, Anthozoa, Actiniaria, Aiptasiidae. The transcript is spliced from 2 exons. The record is from RefSeq and is a predicted model, not a curated record.